This is a long non-coding RNA of Mytilus californianus (California mussel), 597 nucleotides long. RefSeq lists it as uncharacterized. NCBI's taxonomy places the organism in Eukaryota, Metazoa, Mollusca, Bivalvia, Mytilida, Mytilidae. The transcript is spliced from 2 exons. The record is from RefSeq and is a predicted model, not a curated record.
CAGAAAGAUCCAUACACUUGCACACAAGUUAUUGUCCUGAAACUAGAAAAAUGCGUUUUUUUUUGCCCCUUUUUGGCCCCUAAUUCCUAAAAUUUUGAGGCAAUUACCCCCAAAAUCAAUCCCAGCCUUCCCUUUUAGAUAUGGAACCUUGUGGUACAAUGUCAAAGAGAUCCAUACACUAACACACAAGUUAUGUCUGGAAGUUACAAAAAUGCUUAUUUUUGGCCCCUAAUUCCUUAACAGUUGGUACCAUAACCCCAAAAAUCAAUCCCAACCUUCCUUUUGUUGUAUUGAACCUUAUGGUAAAAUCUCAUAGAGAUCCAUUCACUUAAACUAAAGUUAGAGUGCGAAAACCAAUGUGUCUUCGGAUGAAGACGACGACGCCAACAUCAUACCAAUAUACGACCGCAAAAAUUUUUUGCGGUCGUAUAAAAAUUACUUGAUAUUUAAAAGAAAAUAAAAAUUUUGCAAUUUUUCCAUUUAUAAAGGGGCAUAACUCUAGAACGGUUAAAGUGACGCCACCAAAAUUCAAACUUGAUCUGUGUUUUGUGGUAAUAAGCAUUGUGUAUAAGUUUCAAAACAUUUGGUUGAGGCAAA